GACAAGAUGGCCGAGUGGUUUAAGGCGCUACGUUCAGAUCGUAGUUCGAAAGAGCGCGGGUUCGAAUCCCGUUCUUGUCA
Edhazardia aedis is the source of this 80-nucleotide transfer RNA. It matches the Rfam family "tRNA". Rfam says of the family: Transfer RNA (tRNA) molecules are approximately 80 nucleotides in length. Their secondary structure includes four short double-helical elements and three loops (D, anti-codon, and T loops). The record is from Rfam. Lineage: Eukaryota; Fungi; Microsporidia; Culicosporidae.